This 439-nucleotide ribosomal RNA is filed under the name uncultured bacterium. Its description in RNAcentral is "partial 16S ribosomal RNA". It matches the Rfam family "Bacterial small subunit ribosomal RNA", at positions 338 to 795 of the family's 1533-position model. The record is from RNAcentral.
CCUACGGGUGGCGGCAGUGGGGAAUAUUGCACAAUGGGGGAAACCCUGAUGUAGCGACGCCGCGUGAGCGCUGAAGUAUUUCGGUAUGUAAAGCUCUAUCAGCAGGGAAGAAAAUGACGGUACCUGACUAAGAAGCCCCGGCUAACUACGUGCCAGCAGCCGCGGUAAUACGUAGGGGGCAAGCGUUAUCCGGAUUUACUGGGGGAAAGGGGGGCGUAGACGGCGAUGAAAGCCAGAUGUGAAAGCCCGGGCUCAACCCCGGGACUGCAUUUGGAACUGUAUAGCUGGAGUGUCGGAGAGGCAGGCGGAAUUCCUAGUGUAGCGGUGAAAUGCGUAGAUAUUAGGAGGAACACCAGUGGCGAAGGCGGCCUGCUGGACGAUGACUGACGUUGAGGCUCGAAAGCGUGGGGAGCAAACAGGAUUAGAUACCCUUGUAGUC